AUGUAACCUAGUCACACGUAUU
This 22-nucleotide microRNA is filed under the name Notamacropus eugenii (tammar wallaby). RNAcentral describes it as "Neu-Mir-7394-P1_3p* (star (passenger))". RNAcentral also lists the same sequence under 1 other name. Lineage: Eukaryota; Metazoa; Chordata; Mammalia; Diprotodontia; Macropodidae. The record is from RNAcentral.